Ahaetulla prasina is the source of this 3583-nucleotide long non-coding RNA. RefSeq lists it as uncharacterized. The transcript has 3 exons. The record is from RefSeq and is a predicted model, not a curated record. NCBI's taxonomy places the organism in Eukaryota, Metazoa, Chordata, Lepidosauria, Squamata, Colubridae.
CUGGGCCAUCCUGCCGUGAAUGCUGGAGUUGUCAGCGACCAGGAGCCACUCUGUUCAUCCCCAAGGAGGGUAAAUCACAGCAGGCCUGGUGGAGAAAGAAGAGAAGACGUGAGUCAGGAAUUAGCACAGGGGUGCGUUUCUUCUGAGUUCUCGAAAUAAAGGAAGAGUGGCAACCUUUCUAAUACUUGAAAGCUAAGAUAAAAACAAAACAAAACCAAGAACACUAUUUCAGAGUUUCCCUAUCUGCUGAGAAAUUCCUGUAUCUGAGACAUGGAACCAGUUGUGCGUUGAGAAGAGGCUGGAGGCAAAAGAGAGCAUCAAUCUAGUAUAUCCAUGACACAUGCCAGACUUUCUGGAUCUGGCAGUCUCCUCCUGUGAACUGAGUAUGGGUCCUGGAAUACACCCAGCAGUUUGGGUGGAAGCUUGUCAACUUCUGACAGUUUUGUCCCUGACUAAAACUGAAUAGCUUCCAAGGAAACUCAGGAUUCUCCAAAACUUCAUUUUGAAAGUUCUCUUCAGUUUGAAUUGUGCCUUUAUUCUCCACCUCCCAAGAUGAUUUGGUUGAAACCAUGUUAACAAGGACCCACCCUUGUUAUUUUCAACAUCUUAACAAGAUAACAAGGAGAUUUAUAUGGCAAAGGAAAAAAGCUAGAAUUAGUUUAAAGAUGUUACAGGAUACGAGGUUAAGGGGAGGAUUUGGACUGCCAAACUGGGAACUGUAUUACCAGGCAGCAGCAUUGACUUGGAUGAAGGAAUGGGUAGAAUUAAGGAAUACAAGAUUACUGACUUUGGUAGGACAUGAUUUGUAACUAGGGUGGCAUGCCUUUUUAUGGCAUGGGAGAAGUAAGAUACAUAUGUACUUUCAUAGACAUUACAUAAGAAAUGCACUACUAAUGGCAUGAGAGAAGGUUAAAAAGGGCUGGGAAGUGGCUCACCAGGCUAAUGCAGCCUGUUAUUAACACACAGCUGCCUGCAAUUACAAUUACUGCAGGCUCGAGUCCCACCGGGCCCAAGGUUGACUCAGCCUUCCAUCCUUUAUAAGGUAGGUAAAAUGAGGACCCAGAUUGUUGGGGGGGCAAUAAGUUGACUUUGUAUAUAAAUAUACAAAUAGAAUGAGACUAUUGCCUUACACAAUGUAAGCCGCCCUGAGUCUUCGGAGAAGGGCGGGAUAUAAAUUCAAAUUUUAAAAAAAAGAUAAAUAGUAUAUGAAAAUUCCAACAUGGUUAUCAACAAUAGAGGCUUUAAUACAUCCAAAUACUUUUAAUCUUAGAAAUAUUGUUAGGUAUAAGGACUUGUUAACAGAUAGGAGGGAAUUGAAGCAGAAACAAGAUUUGGAAGAACAGGGGACUGAGUUAGAUUGGUAUAUGUAUAUGCAAAUAGAAGCAAGAUAUCAGAAAGAUGUUAAACUCUAUGGUUUCUAUUUAGAAAAGACUGAGCUGGAUAGGAUUCUCACAGGAACAGAGGACAAAUUAAUCAAAAAAAAUUAUAACUUUUUGUUUUAAUUAGUUAGAAGAGUUAGAAGAGGAACAAGUAAAGGAAACUAUGAUAGCUUGAGCUAAAAUUUUUGGACAUUCAAUAGACCUAGACAAAUGGUAACAGCUAUGGGAGAGGAAUUAUAAAUUAAUAAUGUCCACUGCAUAUAAAGAAAAUCAAUAUAAAAUGUUUUAUAGAUGGCAUAUGCCACCUGAGAAACUGGCAAAAAUGUUUAAAGAUAAAUCAGCUAAAGGUUGGAAAUGUCAUCGGUUACCAGGAUCUUCUUAUCAUAUAUGGUGGACAUGUCCGGAAGCCAAAAACUAUUGGGAGAAAAUAAAGGGUUGGUUAGAAGAAAUGACCCAACAACAUAUUCCUCAGCAGGGCCGUGCUGAGGAAUCUGGAAGUUAUCUGCACGAUAAAAUCGCUCAGAUCCGGGACGGACUGGAUGCAGAUUGGGUGGAUUCGGGCGGGACGACGGAGGCAGGUCUUGAGAAUAUUAUCUGGGCGGAGUUCGACUCUGUGACUCCCGAAGACAUGGACAGGAUAUUAGGGAGGCUGAAUGCUACCACAUGUUUACUGGACCCGUGUCCCUCCUGGCUGGUGCUGGCCACUCAGGAGGUUACACGAGGCUGGCUCCAGGGAAUUAUUAGCGCUUCUCUGGUGGAGGGAGUCUUCCCAGCCGCCUUGAAAGAGGCGGUUGUGAGGCCCCUCCUUAAGAAGCCUUCCCUGGACCCAGCUGUUUUGGCUAAUUAUCGUCCCGUCUCCAACCUUGGCUUUGUGGCGAAGGUUGUUGAGAUGUGGUGGCAUGGCAGCUUCCCCGGUACCUGGAGGAAACUGUCUAUCUAGACCCGUGCCAGUCCGGCUUCAGGCCUGGGUACAGCACGGAAACGGCUUUGGUUGUGUUGGUUGAUGAUCUCUGGAGGGCACGGGACAGAGGUUGUUCCUCUGAUCUUGUCCUGUUAGAUCUGUCAGCGGCUUUUGAUACCAUCGACCAUGGUAUCUUGCUGCGACGGUUGGAGGGUUAGGGAGUGGGGGGCACCAUUUUUCAGUGGUUCUCCUCCUACCUCUCCGACCGUUUGCAGACGGUGUUGACGGGGGGCAGAGGUCGACCGCUAGGCAACUCACUUGUGGGAUGCCACAGGGGUCGAUCCUCUCGUCUCUCCUGUUCAACAUCUAUAUGAAGCCGCUGGGGGAGAUCAUCCGUGGUUUCGGGGUGAGAUGUCAACUGUACGCUGAUGACACUCAGCUAUACAUUUCCACCCCGAACCACCCCAACGAAGCCAUUGAUGUGAUGACCCGGUGCCUUGAGGCCGUUCGGGUCUGGAUGGAGACAAACAGACUCCGACUCAACCCAUCCAAGAUGGAGUGGCUGUGGAUACCAGCGUCCUGGCUGGUAUCCACAGUCAGCUAAUUCCAUCGCUGACUGUGGGGGGCGAAUCGUUGGCCCCCAGGGAAUCGGUGUGCAACUUAGGCGUUCUCCUGGACGCAUGGCUGUCUUUAGAAGACCAUUUGACGGCCGUCGCCAGGGGAGCUUUUUAUCAGGUUCGCCUGAUCUGCCAGUUGCGCCCCUUCCUGGACCGGGACGCUUUAUGCACAGUCACUCAUGCCCUCGUUACUUCUCACCUGGAUUACUGCAAUGCUCUCUACAUGGGGCUCCCCUUGAAGAGCACCAGGAGGCUCCAACUGGUACAAAAUGCGGCUGCGCGGGGGAUAGAGGGAGCAUCGCGUAGCUCCCAUGUAACACCUCUCCUGCGCAGGCUGCAUUGGCUGCCAGUGGUCUUCCGGGUGAGAUUCAAGGUUUUGGUUAUCACCUUUAAAGCGCUCCAUGGGAUGGGACCGGGAUAUUUACGGGACCACCUACUGCCGCCAGUAGCCUCUCAUCGACCGGUGCACUCUCACAGAGAGGGCCUCCUUAGGAUGCCAUCAGCCAAACAAUGUCGGCUGGCGGCUCCCAGGGGAAGAGCAUUCUCUGUGGGGUCUCCGGCCCUGUGGAAUGAACUACCUGUGGGGCUAUGUCUUCUCCCUAAUCUUCGGACCUUUAAGCGCAAGCUCAAAACUUUUUUCUUUCACCAAGCAGGGCUGGCCUAAAGUUUUAAUUGUAGAUUUGUUA